AGCCUACGGGAGGCAGCAGUGGGGAAUAUUGCACAAUGGGGGAAACCCUGAUGCAGCAACGCCGCGUGAGUGAAGAAGUCAUUCGUGAUGUAAAGCUCUAUCAGCAGGGAAGAAAAUGACGGUACCUGAGUAAGAAGCCCCGGCUAACUACGUGCCAGCAGCCGCGGUAAUACGUAGGGGGCAAGCGUUAUCCGGAUUUACUGGGUGUAAAGGGAGCGUAGACGGGGUAAUAAGUCAGAUGUGAAAUCCUGUAGCUUAACUACAGAACUGCAUUUGAAACUGUUACUCUGGAGUGUGGGAGAGGG
RNAcentral lists this ribosomal RNA (305 nucleotides) under uncultured bacterium. Its description in RNAcentral is "bacterial SSU rRNA". It matches the Rfam family "Bacterial small subunit ribosomal RNA", at positions 335 to 658 of the family's 1533-position model. The record is from RNAcentral.